Molecule: ribosomal RNA, 467 nt
Filed under: uncultured bacterium
Lineage: Bacteria
Description: partial 16S ribosomal RNA
Rfam family: Bacterial small subunit ribosomal RNA
Source: RNAcentral
ACGAACGCUGGCGGCGUGCUUAACACAUGCAAGUCGUACGGAAAGGCCCUGCUUUUGUGGGGUGCUCGAGUGGCGAACGGGUGAGUAACACGUGAGUAACCUGCCCUUGACUUUGGGAUAACUUCAGGAAACUGGGGCUAAUACCGGAUAGGAGCUCCUGCUGCUUGGUGGGGGUUGGAAAGUUUCGGCGGUUGGGGAUGGACUCGCGGCUUAUCAGCUUGUUGGUGGGGUAGUGGCUUACCAAGGCUUUGACGGGUAGCCGGCCUGAGAGGGUGACCGGCCACAUUGGGACUGAGAUACGGCCCAGACUCCUACGGGAGGCAGCAGUGGGGAAUAUUGCACAAUGGGCGGAAGCCUGAUGCAGCAACGCCGCGUGCGGGAUGACGGCCUUCGGGUUGUAAACCGCUUUCGCCUGUGACGAAGCGUGAGUGACGGUAAUGGGUAAAGAAGCACCGGCUAACUACGUG